This 24-nucleotide non-coding RNA is filed under the name Arabidopsis thaliana (thale cress). The record is from RNAcentral. Lineage: Eukaryota; Viridiplantae; Streptophyta; Magnoliopsida; Brassicales; Brassicaceae.
ACAUACAAAUAGAGUUGGUCCACA